GCUGAUGUAGCUCAGUCGGUAGAGCACUUCCUUGGUAAGGAAGAGGUCAUCGGUUCAAGUCCGAUCAUCAGCUCCA
RNAcentral lists this transfer RNA (76 nucleotides) under Chlorobium sp. Its description in RNAcentral is "tRNA-Thr". It matches the Rfam family "tRNA". Rfam says of the family: Transfer RNA (tRNA) molecules are approximately 80 nucleotides in length. Their secondary structure includes four short double-helical elements and three loops (D, anti-codon, and T loops). The record is from RNAcentral. RNAcentral also lists the same sequence under 1 other name. Lineage: Bacteria; Pseudomonadati; Chlorobiota; Chlorobiia; Chlorobiales; Chlorobiaceae.